CCCUUGAUGCUUCAGUUCAGAUCCGUCCUACGUCGCUUGCUCAUCCGGCACAGUUGGUUAGGAGUUCCAUGAUGACUUUUCGAGGAAUAAGUGUGUGCGUGGUGUUUGUCGCCGUGAUGCUGAUGACGUGCUCUGCCCAGACGAGCACCGAACAGGAAGUUGAAACGGACUCCGUGAAACCCGGUUCCUGUCCUCCUAUCACGGCGUCACAGCUUGUACAGCAGGGCAUCAAGAAUCUGGAGUGCCAGCAGGAUUCGGAUUGUGAUGACACUGACAAAUGCUGCUUGGUUCCUGGUGGUUUAUCUUGCGUUGAGCCAGAGGUCGGAUCGGAUGAGGAGAUGAGGAGAUGAGGAGAUCAUGGUUAGCAGACAGUUCCAGAAGAUUCGAUUGUCUCGGAGAUAACCAUGGUUCAGAAUGAGCACACACAGUGGCCGCAGCCUUGUUUCCAGAAGACUGUGUCGAUUUAUAAAUUGAUUUGCUGU
This is a non-coding RNA of Penaeus vannamei (Pacific white shrimp), 482 nucleotides long. The record is from RefSeq and is a predicted model, not a curated record. Lineage: Eukaryota; Metazoa; Arthropoda; Malacostraca; Decapoda; Penaeidae.